Prionailurus viverrinus (fishing cat) is the source of this 1474-nucleotide long non-coding RNA. RefSeq lists it as uncharacterized. The transcript has 6 exons. NCBI's taxonomy places the organism in Eukaryota, Metazoa, Chordata, Mammalia, Carnivora, Felidae. The record is from RefSeq and is a predicted model, not a curated record.
UGCGAAGGGCUCGGCGGCCGGCGGAGACGCGGGUGGCCGGCGAUGGCCGCGGUGGGGGCCGGCUGGGGCCCAGCCCACGGAGGCCGGCGGAAGGCGGUGGCCGAAGAGCCGCGCCCCUUGUGGAGCGCAUGCUGUGUGACCCGCGCCUGUCUUUCCCGCCGCCGCCCCGCCAGGGCCCAUCUCAGGUUCGACCGGCUGCGUUUCAAGAGCUCAGCAACCACGUGGCUCCUGCAUUGGACCCUGCAAUGCUAGCUGGGGAGACAGAAAAGAAAUGAAGCGGAUUCCCCAUCAAGUGGUGGAAAGGGUGUACCCGGUGCAGAUGCUCAGCCCUGGGGAUACAACAGUGACCAUGCUAGAACGGGCAUCUGCCCUCACGGAAGUCCCAGUCAACCUGUGGGUACAGGCUUAAGAGGGCAACUCUGACAUCGACUGGGUGUGCAACCUUGGAAACUACAGUAAAGGCUCCUGCCCACGUCUCUGCCUCCUGCCAGCCCCUGGUGCUUCCCCGUGGGGCCCUGCAUGGUGUGCUGUGUGCCCUCCUCGUGGGAUCUGUCUCCCUUCUCUCUGGAGCCCUGGUGGGGUGCCCUGUGCAUCCCGACAGCCUGUGUGUGGACGUUCCUCUAGAAUGCAGACCGUGCAUCCUGUGAAAGUCCCCCCGGCGGUGAGCGUCACAAGGGCACGGUACAUCUAUUAUCUGCCCUCUGUCUCCAGCUCUCUGCACAUCACUUGGCAUUUGCUUUAAAAUGAUCUGCCAGCCCCGGGAGGGGCACUCAGUCCUUCCGUGAUCAGGUAGGCGCCAGCUGUCAAGACGUCCUGAUACACAAGACAUGCUUGGAGCACAGAGGAUUUUCAGGGCAGUGAGGUACUCUGUAUGAGGCCAUAAUGAUGGGUACAGGUCAUCAAGCAUUUGCUCAAACCCAUAAAAUGUCCAACACCAGGAGUGGACCCGAACGUAAACUAUGGACUUUGGAUGACAAUGCUGUCAGCACAGGCCCGUCGAUGGUAACAAAUGCAGCCUUUGGUGUGGGAUGUUGAUAACCAGGGAAUAUCCAUUUGGGGCAAAUAUCCAUUUGGGGCAAAGGGUAUAUGGGAGAUCUCUGUACCUUCCCCCCAGUUUUGCUGGGAAAAUUGAACUGCCCAGAAAAAAAAGUCUUAAUAAACAUAAGAAAGAAUCAGGACAAACUUAUGGCCUGACGGUUAUCUGUGGCUAGAACCGCACUGCUCCCCAAGGUUAGCCGCUAGCCACCACAUGUGGCUAUUUGGCAUCUGAAACGUGCUACAAGUGUGCAAUCAAGAUCUACUAUGCCAAAAAAAAAAAAAAGAAACGAGGGAAUGUCUCACAAAUCAUCCUUAUUUGAUUGCCUGUGGGAAUAAUAUUUUUAUAGAUAUGGUUAAAGAAAAUACAGUACUAAAGUUUAAAAAAAAUUUUUUUUAACAUUUAUUUAUUCUUGAGACAGAGAGAGACAGAGCAUGA